UUUUAUGGAGAGUUUGAUCCUGGCUCAGAGUGAACGCUGGCGGCGUGCCUAAUACAUGCAAGUCGAACGAUGAAGCUUCUAGCUUGCUAGAAGUGGAUUAGUGGCGCACGGGUGAGUAAGGUAUAGUUAAUCUGCCCUACACAAGAGGACAACAGUUGGAAACGACUGCUAAUACUCUAUACUCCUGCUUAACACAAGUUGAGUAGGGAAAGUUUUUCGGUGUAGGAUGAGACUAUAUAGUAUCAGCUAGU
Molecule: ribosomal RNA, 251 nt
Filed under: Campylobacter jejuni
Lineage: Bacteria; Pseudomonadati; Campylobacterota; Epsilonproteobacteria; Campylobacterales; Campylobacteraceae
Description: partial 16S ribosomal RNA
Rfam family: Bacterial small subunit ribosomal RNA
Source: RNAcentral